GACGACCUCUAAUCUUCGCCUAA
This 23-nucleotide non-coding RNA is filed under the name Arabidopsis thaliana (thale cress). Lineage: Eukaryota; Viridiplantae; Streptophyta; Magnoliopsida; Brassicales; Brassicaceae. The record is from RNAcentral.